Camelina sativa (false flax) is the source of this 620-nucleotide long non-coding RNA. RefSeq lists it as uncharacterized. The record is from RefSeq and is a predicted model, not a curated record. NCBI's taxonomy places the organism in Eukaryota, Viridiplantae, Streptophyta, Magnoliopsida, Brassicales, Brassicaceae.
CUUCCCUUUUUUUUUCUUCAUUUCUCUCUCUCAUAAAGCUCUCCACAGCUUCACGCAAUGACGCUAUUCUUCAAAUUUAAUCCUCUUCAUCCUCCUCCUUUGCUUCUCACAUCUUCCCGCUUGAUCCUCGUUUCUUUACCAGAUCGCUACAGUUUUCCAGCACCGGCGGAUCCACUCCGUUUAAGCUAAUACAAAGUUAAGUUGGAGAAGAAGAUAAGGGGAAGAAGAAAAGGGGAAGAAGAAGACAGAAACGACGUCGUUUUAGCCAAAAGAAGUUCUUUCUUUUGUUUCUCAAAACGAGAUCGUUUCUUAUGUGGCCUCCACGUAAGCGCCGUUAGCGGUUUCUUAACACCGUUACGGCUUGUGUAUGUUUUAACACCGUUUUACGGGUUAGGGUAGUGAUUUUGAAUUUUAUUGAACUUAAUGUAUGAAUUUGCUCAGUGUUAAAGUUGGGGUAGGAAUUCAACAUACCCCCUUAGCUGGGGUAUGAAAUUACCGAUUUUCCUGCAAUAAACAUGUACAGUUUGGUUUAGUAUGGUUCGGUUUUCUUCAGUUUAUGGUUUAUUGGAUAUGUAAAAACUUAAUUAACAUAAACUUAUUUGUAACUUUAUUUGGUUUCU